RNAcentral lists this microRNA precursor (55 nucleotides) under Pan troglodytes (chimpanzee). Its description in RNAcentral is "miRNA (ENSPTRG00000038647.2)". Lineage: Eukaryota; Metazoa; Chordata; Mammalia; Primates; Hominidae. The record is from RNAcentral.
AGGGAACGAGGCUUGGUCUUAGCACGGGGUCUAAGGCCCGGGCUUUUCCUCCCAG